Long non-coding RNA from Rhagoletis pomonella (apple maggot), 338 nucleotides. RefSeq lists it as uncharacterized. The record is from RefSeq and is a predicted model, not a curated record. The transcript has 2 exons. NCBI's taxonomy places the organism in Eukaryota, Metazoa, Arthropoda, Insecta, Diptera, Tephritidae.
CACGGAGGACCUGGGAAUCCUACUGAUUCAGGAACCGUGGACCUACAGAGGCCAGGUGAGGGGCCUCAAUCAUAACAACAAUAAGAAUUUCUUACACAGGAUCUGGUAGCGGUCCAAGCUACCUUAAGGGUCAACGGGAAGGAACUGGAGGUGGUCUUGGCUGCAGCCUACUUUCCGGGGGACAACGCCAACGUGCCGCCUCUUGAGGUACAGCAGCUGCUGGAAUUUUGCCGCAGGAAACGACUUCCGGCGAUUCUCGGCUGCGAUGCGAACGCCCACAAUAUAGAGUGGGGCAGCUCGGACACAAACCGUAGGGGUGAGUGCUUAUUAGAAUAUAU